UUAAGCGACUAAGCGUACACGGUGGAUGCCCUGGCAGUCAGAGGCGAUGAAGGACGUGCUAAUCUGCGAUAAGCGUCGGUAAGGUGAUAUGAACCGUUAUAACCGGCGAUUUCCGAAUGGGGAAACCCAGUGUGUUUCGACACACUAUCAUUAACUGAAUCCAUAGGUUAAUGAGGCGAACCGGGGGAACUGAAACAUCUAAGUACCCCGAGGAAAAGAAAUCAACCGAGAUUCCCCCAGUAGCGGCGAGCGAACGGGGAGCAGCCCAGAGUCUGAAUCAGUGUGUGUGUUAGUGGAAGCGUCUGGAAAGGCGCGCGAUACAGGGUGACAGCCCCGUACACAAAAAUGCACAUGCUGUGAGCUCGAUGAGUAGGGCGGGACACGUGGUAUCCUGUCUGAAUAUGGGGGGACCAUCCUCCAAGGCUAAAUACUCCUGACUGACCGAUAGUGAACCAGUACCGUGAGGGAAAGGCGAAAAGAACCCCGGCGAGGGGAGUGAAAAAGAACCUGAAACCGUGUACGUACAAGCAGUGGGAGCCUCUUUAUGGGGUGACUGCGUACCUUUUGUAUAAUGGGUCAGCGACUUAUAUUCUGUAGCAAGGUUAACCGAAUAGGGGAGCCGAAGGGAAACCGAGUCUUAACUGGGCGUUAAGUUGCAGGGUAUAGACCCGAAACCCGGUGAUCUAGCCAUGGGCAGGUUGAAGGUUGGGUAACACUAACUGGAGGACCGAACCGACUAAUGUUGAAAAAUUAGCGGAUGACUUGUGGCUGGGGGUGAAAGGCCAAUCAAACCGGGAGAUAGCUGGUUCUCCCCGAAAGCUAUUUAGGUAGCGCCUCGUGAAUUCAUCUCCGGGGGUAGAGCACUGUUUCGGCAAGGGGGUCAUCCCGACUUACCAACCCGAUGCAAACUGCGAAUACCGGAGAAUGUUAUCACGGGAGACACACGGCGGGUGCUAACGUCCGUCGUGAAGAGGGAAACAACCCAGACCGCCAGCUAAGGUCCCAAAGUCAUGGUUAAGUGGGAAACGAUGUGGGAAGGCCCAGACAGCCAGGAUGUUGGCUUAGAAGCAGCCAUCAUUUAAAGAAAGCGUAAUAGCUCACUGGUCGAGUCGGCCUGCGCGGAAGAUGUAACGGGGCUAAACCAUGCACCGAAGCUGCGGCAGCGACACUGUGUGUUGUUGGGUAGGGGAGCGUUCUGUAAGCCUGUGAAGGUGUACUGUGAGGUAUGCUGGAGGUAUCAGAAGUGCGAAUGCUGACAUAAGUAACGAUAAAGCGGGUGAAAAGCCCGCUCGCCGGAAGACCAAGGGUUCCUGUCCAACGUUAAUCGGGGCAGGGUGAGUCGACCCCUAAGGCGAGGCCGAAAGGCGUAGUCGAUGGGAAACAGGUUAAUAUUCCUGUACUUGGUGUUACUGCGAAGGGGGGACGGAGAAGGCUAUGUUGGCCGGGCGACGGUUGUCCCGGUUUAAGCGUGUAGGCUGGUUUUCCAGGCAAAUCCGGAAAAUCAAGGCUGAGGCGUGAUGACGAGGCACUACGGUGCUGAAGCAACAAAUGCCCUGCUUCCAGGAAAAGCCUCUAAGCAUCAGGUAACAUCAAAUCGUACCCCAAACCGACACAGGUGGUCAGGUAGAGAAUACCAAGGCGCUUGAGAGAACUCGGGUGAAGGAACUAGGCAAAAUGGUGCCGUAACUUCGGGAGAAGGCACGCUGAUAUGUAGGUGAAGUCCCUUGCGGAUGGAGCUGAAAUCAGUCGAAGAUACCAGCUGGCUGCAACUGUUUAUUAAAAACACAGCACUGUGCAAACACGAAAGUGGACGUAUACGGUGUGACGCCUGCCCGGUGCCGGAAGGUUAAUUGAUGGGGUCAGCGCAAGCGAAGCUCUUGAUCGAAGCCCCGGUAAACGGCGGCCGUAACUAUAACGGUCCUAAGGUAGCGAAAUUCCUUGUCGGGUAAGUUCCGACCUGCACGAAUGGCGUAAUGAUGGCCAGGCUGUCUCCACCCGAGACUCAGUGAAAUUGAACUCGCUGUGAAGAUGCAGUGUACCCGCGGCAAGACGGAAAGACCCCGUGAACCUUUACUAUAGCUUGACACUGAACAUUGAGCCUUGAUGUGUAGGAUAGGUGGGAGGCUUUGAAGUGUGGACGCCAGUCUGCAUGGAGCCGACCUUGAAAUACCACCCUUUAAUGUUUGAUGUUCUAACGUUGACCCGUAAUCCGGGUUGCGGACAGUGUCUGGUGGGUAGUUUGACUGGGGCGGUCUCCUCCUAAAGAGUAACGGAGGAGCACGAAGGUUGGCUAAUCCUGGUCGGACAUCAGGAGGUUAGUGCAAUGGCAUAAGCCAGCUUGACUGCGAGCGUGACGGCGCGAGCAGGUGCGAAAGCAGGUCAUAGUGAUCCGGUGGUUCUGAAUGGAAGGGCCAUCGCUCAACGGAUAAAAGGUACUCCGGGGAUAACAGGCUGAUACCGCCCAAGAGUUCAUAUCGACGGCGGUGUUUGGCACCUCGAUGUCGGCUCAUCACAUCCUGGGGCUGAAGUAGGUCCCAAGGGUAUGGCUGUUCGCCAUUUAAAGUGGUACGCGAGCUGGGUUUAGAACGUCGUGAGACAGUUCGGUCCCUAUCUGCCGUGGGCGCUGGAGAACUGAGGGGGGCUGCUCCUAGUACGAGAGGACCGGAGUGGACGCAUCACUGGUGUUCGGGUUGUCAUGCCAAUGGCACUGCCCGGUAGCUAAAUGCGGAAGAGAUAAGUGCUGAAAGCAUCUAAGCACGAAACUUGCCCCGAGAUGAGUUCUCCCUGACUCCUUGAGAGUCCUGAAGGAACGUUGAAGACGACGACGUUGAUAGGCCGGGUGUGUAAGCGCAGCGAUGCGUUGAGCUAACCGGUACUAAUGAACCGUGAGGCUUAACCUU
Molecule: ribosomal RNA, 2900 nt
Filed under: Escherichia coli
Lineage: Bacteria; Pseudomonadati; Pseudomonadota; Gammaproteobacteria; Enterobacterales; Enterobacteriaceae
Description: bacterial LSU rRNA
Rfam family: Bacterial large subunit ribosomal RNA
Source: RNAcentral